Non-coding RNA from Pelobates cultripes (western spadefoot toad), 746 nucleotides. NCBI's taxonomy places the organism in Eukaryota, Metazoa, Chordata, Amphibia, Anura, Pelobatidae. The record is from the annotation of a GenBank genome assembly.
CUCUGAGCUCUGCUUUAUCAUUCCUUGCUAGCACUCAGGGAAGGCUAUAUACUGCUCCACUACACUGUCAGUGCUAUUCAUCCCCUUACUGAGAGAAAUAUAACCUGCAUUAAUUUUACAAUUAUUUAUAGCUGUAUUUUAGAGGAGAAAACAAUCUCCCUUGUAAUUUUUCUCAUUGUAUCUACAGUGUAAAAAAAGUGUGAGGUUUGGCACUAUGUUGUCAGGUGAGAGUAUUUGGAUUUUUGUAAUGCUUUGGGUCACCCCGAGCCUAUCUGCUCGGGAGUCCCAGCCCAGUGAGUACGACUAUGUAAGUUUCCAGCCAGAGAUGAGACGACAAUACCAGAGUGGACGAUUUUACUCUCGACCGGCACAAUGUGUGGAUAUUCCCCAGGACCUGGCAUUGUGCCAUGGAGUCGGAUACAACAAGAUGGUACUGCCCAACCUUCUGGACCAUGAGACUAUGGUAGAGGUGAAAUACCAGGCUAGUAGCUGGGUGCCCUUACUCAGCAAGAACUGCCAUCCAGGCACCCAAGUGUUCCUGUGCUCUCUGUUUGCUCCUGUUUGCUUGGACCGGCCCAUAUACCCAUGUCGCUGGCUUUGCGAAGCGGUCAGAGAUGGUUGUGAACCAGUCAUGCAGUAUUUUGGUUUUCCUUGGCCAGAAAUGCUUCGUUGCGACCAGUACCCUCGAGAAGAUGUCUGUAUAGCAGGCACAUCACCCAAUGCCACUCAAGCCCCACGCCCUCGAA